AUAGAGAUAAUUAUAAAUAGUACAGUUAAGUAUAUAUGUUAUUAAAUUAAAAAAAAAAAAAGUAAAAUCACUGCUUUUAUACAAAUUUAAAAAUUUUUUUUAUGCCUGUAGAGUAAUAUUGUUAGUUUAUAAUUUUAUUGUUGUAAUUUUUAUAAAAUCAGUUAAAUUUGUGCCAGCAUCUGCGGUUAGACUGAAGAUUUAUUUUGUAAUUAUUAGGAUUUAUUUGGCGAGAAUAUAAUUAAUAUUUUUGGUGAAAUAUUUAUGUGAGGCUAAUAUUUUUAUUUUAUAAAAAAAUUAAAAUCAUGAGUAGGAUUAGAUACCCUGUUAUUUUAUUUUUAUUAUUAUCCUAAGGAUUUAGGUUAAAAUUAAAUGAUUUGGCGGCUAGUGUCAAUUAAAGGGGUUUGUUUAUUAAUUUGAUGCGACACAGUGUAUAUCACUUAUUUUAUUUAGUAUACCAUCAUUUAAUUAGUUUGUAAUUAAUUAACUAAUUUAAUAAUUUUAGUAAAUUAGAUCCAGGUGCUGAUAUAAGCAAGGUAUAAUUAACGACAAUAAUUUAUUCUUAUAUGUAAUUAUUUUAAUUAUAUUUAAAGGUGGAUUUAAGUGUAAUAAUAAAAAUAUGAAAUAUGUUCUAGUGUACAAAUUGCCCGUCAUUCUCUAUGAGACAAGUCGAAACAAAGUAGGGCUAUCGGAAGUUAGGCCUA
This 701-nucleotide ribosomal RNA is filed under the name Pseudoniphargus unisexualis. RNAcentral describes it as "12S ribosomal RNA". The record is from RNAcentral. Lineage: Eukaryota; Metazoa; Arthropoda; Malacostraca; Amphipoda; Allocrangonyctidae.